Molecule: ribosomal RNA, 468 nt
Filed under: uncultured bacterium
Lineage: Bacteria
Description: partial 16S ribosomal RNA
Rfam family: Bacterial small subunit ribosomal RNA
Source: RNAcentral
GACGAACGCUGGCGGCGUGCUUAACACAUGCAAGUCGAACGGAAAGGCCCUGCUUUUGCGGGGUGCUCGAUUGGCGAACGCGGGAGUAACACGUGAGUAACCUCCCCCUAUCAUUGUGAUAACUUCACGAAACUGGGGCUAUUACCGGAGAGGAUCUUCUGCAGCACGGUGGGGGUUGGUAAGUUUCGGCGGUUGGGGAUGGACUCGCUGCUUAUGCGCUGGAUGGUGGGGUAGUGGCUUACCAAGGCUUUGACGGGUAGCCGGCCUGGGAGGGUGACCGGGCACAUUGGGACUGAGGGAGGGCGCAGUCGCGUACGGGAGGCAGCAGGGGGGAGUAUGGCGGAGUGGGGGGGAGCGUGAUGCAGCGGCGCCGGGUGCGGGAUGAUGGGCUUCGGGUGGUGAACCGCUGUCGCCGGUGACGAAGCGUGAGUGACGGUAAUGGGUAAAGAAGCACCGGCUAACUACGUG